Molecule: long non-coding RNA, 553 nt
Organism: Mytilus californianus (California mussel)
Lineage: Eukaryota; Metazoa; Mollusca; Bivalvia; Mytilida; Mytilidae
Exons: 4
Source: RefSeq, a predicted model, not a curated record
GAUCCAACAUAAAGACAUACUCACGAUGAUUAUAUAUAAUGGGGAUCACAUGACUUCUGUGUAUAAAAGCGAAAGAAAUUGAUCAUAUCGCUAUUUAUUUCCGAGAUUUCAUUUGACAGCAUAGGCUGUUUUCAAUUGUUGAAGAAGGGUGUUUAAAUUAUUAAAAAACAAGAAGAAGAUGAAUAUAUCAAAGAUUUAUAAUUUAUAAAUACAAGAAGAUGAGAAUGUCAGAGAUGACUAUAAAACAUUAUGGAUCAUGGUCCUAAUGGGGGACGUUAAAUUCCAUCUGUAUGCCAACAGUCGUCUGGUGGAUGAACGACGUUUGAAACAGUAACAAAAUACUUCCACGUUUCACAAGUGUCUUCUGACAUCGUCAAAGACUUGCUUGGGGUGUUUCUGUCUUCUUUGGUCUUAGUGUGUUUGAUUUUGGACUUGCAAAAACCAGUUUUAUAAAUCAGAAAUCUUGGACGUUAUCUUUAUCUAGUAUAAUUUACAAUUAAAAGUGUGUCAAACUAAAUAUAGAAUUAAUUAAAACAAAUAAAAGUGAACUAUC